UGUAGGUAAGACGCCAUCUAAAUUUCCCUGCGUGAUUGGACAUCCUAUUCAGAUUUAUUGGACAAUCAUGGCACAUACUGUCUCUGAGGUCAGUGAACUUGUCACGAAGUGCAAUCAAUUGUCAAAGGAAGUCUUACAGCUACGACAGGAACAGGAAAAUCAUGGUACAGAGAUACAAAGGCGCGACGCACAAAUAUCGGAGCUGAAAGGGAGGAUUCAACUUCUUGAGAGAGGAGCGUCUUCAAUCGUUGACUCGGAGAGUCGGCUAACCCUUGAAAGAGACAGCCUUCUUGCUGCCAACCAUAAUCAAAGUCUGGAACUGAACGACAGGAUGACGAAAAUACGCCAACUAGAGGCUGGAUUAAAGAAAAUCCGUCUCAAUGAUGACAAAGUAAAAGGUCAACUGACGUCACUGAGAUCUAAGGUCACCGCUGCUAAUGAACGUGUCCGACAUUUGGAGACUGAAAAUGCUCAGUUGAAAGCUGAUUUGAACGUUGCUAGACAGGGACAAGAGCCCACUACGUUUACUUCAUAUCAUCUCCCUCAGCUCGAAGAAGAAGAUGAUGUAGGCAUUUGGCAUACUGCUCGUGCAGCUAGUAACCGCCGUGAAUCAAUAAGACAGGUGGCAGAGCAAGGAGCGGAGGCUUUGAAAAGUGUUGAAUUCUUAAACGUGGUGAUAGAUAAAGACUUUGAAUUUAUGAUGCGUUAUGAUCCAGAGAUGACAAUUGCAGCUUUAAAACGUCAAGUUCGAAAAAUGUUUGAAAAACUAUUGAACUUUUGGUUUUUAAAAUAUGAUGAUAGAAGAAUCAGGACUUCACAAAACGACACCAAAACACUUGCAGAGGUUGGGAUCCGACCUAACACAACGCUUCGCUUAGUUGAAAGUUCAGGUUGUAAUUUGUUAUAAACUGACGGUAUAAUCCAUCAUUAAAUUUGACCAGGUAAAAUUAACGCAAGUGUUUAAGACACCGGGAAGCUGGAUCACAUCUAACGCAAUAAUCCACCGAGUGAGCAUCCCGAAUAUUCAACGAUCUCCAGCUCCAGAUGCCUCUUGUUACGAUGUAUUAACUGAUGCGUACGGCAAUUUGUCAUUUUAAGUUGACUAUCUUAAAUUGAUACAGGGAAAUAAGACUAAAUGUUUUAAGACAAAAGCAGUGGUUAUAAAAGAAAGUUGAAGAUGAACAGCAUA
Molecule: unclassified non-coding RNA, 1189 nt
Organism: Lingula anatina
Lineage: Eukaryota; Metazoa; Brachiopoda; Lingulata; Lingulida; Lingulidae
Source: RefSeq, a predicted model, not a curated record